RNAcentral lists this ribosomal RNA (454 nucleotides) under uncultured bacterium. RNAcentral describes it as "partial 16S ribosomal RNA". It matches the Rfam family "Bacterial small subunit ribosomal RNA", at positions 355 to 801 of the family's 1533-position model. The record is from RNAcentral.
UAGGGAAUCUUCCACAAUGGACGAAAGUCUGAUGGAGCAACGCCGCGUGAGUGAAGAAGGUUUUCGGAUCGUAAAGCUCUGUUGUUGGUGAAGAAGGAUAGAGGCAGUAACUGGUCUUUAUUUGACGGUAAUCAACCAGAAAGUCACGGCUAACUACGUGCCAGCAGCCGCGGUAAUACGUAGGUGGCAAGCGUUGUCCGGAUUUAUUGGGCGUAAAGCGAGCGCAGGCGGAAUGAUAAGUCUGAUGUGAAAGCCCACGGCUCAACCGUGGAACUGCAUCGGAAACUGUCAUUCUUGAGUGCAGAAGAGGAGAGUGGAACUCCAUGUGUAGCGGUGGAAUGCGUAGAUAUAUGGAAGAACACCAGUGGCGAAGGCGGCUCUCUGGUCUGCAACUGACGCUGAGGCUCGAAAGCAUGGGUAGCGAACAGGAUUAGAUACCCUGGUAGUCCAUGCC